Molecule: ribosomal RNA, 652 nt
Filed under: bacterium 'c40-18b (40S1e)'
Lineage: Bacteria
Description: bacterial SSU rRNA
Rfam family: Bacterial small subunit ribosomal RNA
Source: RNAcentral
AGUCGAGCGGACUGAAAGGAGAGCUCGCUCUCCUUUCAGUCAGCGGCGGACGGGUGAGUAACACGUGGGUAACCUGCCUGUAAGACCGGGAUAACUCGCGGAAACGCGAGCUAAUACCGGAUAGGUCCCGUGGCCGCAUGGCGACGGGAGGAAAGAUGGCGCGAGCUAUCGCUUACAGAUGGGCCCGCGGCGCAUUAGCUAGUUGGUGGGGUAACGGCCCACCAAGGCGACGAUGCGUAGCCGACCUGAGAGGGUGAUCGGCCACAUUGGGACUGAGACACGGCCCAAACUCCUACGGGAGGCAGCAGUAGGGAAUCUUCCGCAAUGGGCGAAAGCCUGACGGAGCAACGCCGCGUGAGCGAAGAAGGCCUUCGGGUCGUAAAGCUCUGUUGUCAGGGAAGAACAAGUACCGGAGUAACUGCCGGUACCUUGACGGUACCUGACCAGAAAGCCCCGGCUAACUACGUGCCAGCAGCCGCGGUAAUACGUAGGGGGCGAGCGUUGUCCGGAAUCAUUGGGCGUAAAGCGCGCGCAGGCGGUCCCUUAAGUCUGAUGUGAAAUCUUGCGGCUCAACCGCAAGGGGUCAUUGGAAACUGGGGGACUUGAGUGCAGGAGAGGGAAGCGGAAUUCCAUGUGUAGCGGUGAAAUGCGU